CCUCUUCUUGUUUUGUUUUGUAAAUAUGUUGUGUAUCUUGUCUCUUAGAGUUGUCUUCUGAAUAGAGAGAAAAGAAAAGAGACAAGAUGAAAAAAAGAGAGAAAAAAAAAUACAGAAAAAUGAGAAAAAAAAAUUGUGAAUAAUUGUGAAUAAUGGAGUCGAGAAGAGGAUGAAAUUAGGGGUUGUGGGUGUGUUUGAAUGUGUUUACACUUGUUCCCCAUUGCUCCUCUGUUCCUUAUGGUUUGUAGCUUCUUAUCCAGAUGUAUCCUCC
Molecule: long non-coding RNA, 271 nt
Filed under: Vigna radiata
Lineage: Eukaryota; Viridiplantae; Streptophyta; Magnoliopsida; Fabales; Fabaceae
Description: long non-coding RNA (VRAD_LNC017664)
Source: RNAcentral